This is a long non-coding RNA of Bombyx mori (domestic silkworm), 3156 nucleotides long. RefSeq lists it as uncharacterized. The transcript has 3 exons. NCBI's taxonomy places the organism in Eukaryota, Metazoa, Arthropoda, Insecta, Lepidoptera, Bombycidae. The record is from RefSeq and is a predicted model, not a curated record.
GACAUGCUAUAUUUACUACCCGGUACGCGGAUCUAAAACUGGAACUAAUAAUGAGAUUCAUGACGUAUUUUAUUCAAGCAUCUAUGUCAUCAGUUGAGACAGAUGAUGAUGACAGGGAAGAUGAGGAUAGAAAAGAUGGUAACUGUUUUAGGAGUUAAAGAGAAAGAAAAUCUGUAAGAAAAUUGUGUCUUCUAUUUAACUCGUCCAGACCAUACUCUAUAGAGAAAGAGAGAGAGAGAAAGAGAGAGAGGCUAAAGUCACAGCUGAUUUCACGAACCAACAAUAACUGGAAUCCAUGUUACAUUGUGAAUGUCACAGAUCGCCUAGAGACAGUGAGUUGAAUUAGCGUAACAUCUCCGAGAACUAAAGCGAAUAGUCGAUCAGCUUCUGAAUCUGUAGCAAAAAACCACGUAGCACCAUACGAUUAAAGCUCAAAAUAAUUUAUCCUAAAACUAUUUGUUUAAGAAGGUCAGAGCAGCGGUACUUGGGCCUCCCUACGGGGCGGCGUCCCUCCGGUACACCCGCGUACACCCGUCUUACAGCCCGAUCCUUCUCCAUACGCACUGCAUGCCCGAGCCAUCCGAGCCUCCGUGCCUUCAUCUCCCCCAGAAUAUUUUGCUCGUCAAAAAGCCUCUCCACAUCCUUGUUUUUCCGGACGUGCCAAGAACACGUUCUCAUCUGAUAAAGAUAACAUUUAAAUUCAAAUCCUUCGAUUUUGUUCGCUGCCAUCUAUUAAAACUACACGAUUUAUCGUUGCAGUUCCUAAGAUCGUAUCGUUGAAUUUAAACAAACAUUUAACAGUGGGACGCUAACUGAUCACCGAGAAAUCCGCGGACCGCUCACAAAGUUAACUUAUGCAAAUGUCUUUUUGCAUUCCACUCAAUGUCUAAAUGGACGGCUCAAACUUUCAAACCGCAAUGCUAAACAGCAGGAUUAUUUAAAUAUGGCGAUGAACGUAUUUAAAAUUCAAUGGAAAACUGUCUUGAAGCGCCAGUGGUCUAAUGACAGAAACCCUUGAUAUGUUUGAGUAAUUUCACACAAGUAUAUAGCUGCGAGGACAUUAGUGGUGGUAGGACCUCUUGUGAGUCCGCACUGGCCUGUCUAUUUCUGCCGUGAAACAGUAAUGCGUUUGAAGGGUGGGGCAGCCGUUGUAACCACAUUGAGACCUUAGAACUUAUGUCUCAAGGUGGGUGGCGCAUUUACGUUAUAGAUAUCUAUGGGCUCCAGUAACCACUUAACACCAGGUGGGCUGUGAGCUCGUAUAAGAAAUAAAUAAAAAAGUUUAUAAGUCAAUGAAAUGCAAUUCUCAAAACACCUAUGCCGAACACUUAAAACCAGAGUGCAUGCAUAAAGCUCAAUUAAAAUAACUGGGUAAAAAGUCUCGAAACUGCAAAACUGCACAAAUUGUAUUGUGUACCAAACUAGACGUGAACUUUUGAAAAUUAUUUGCAAAUACAGUUCGACAGUAACUUAGGAACAUCAAGGCAAACACUAGUUAAACAAAAGCGGUAUGGAAAUUAUUGUAUUUUGUUCAUCUCAGAAAUGUGGUAGUAAACUCUUUGUGCGUUUAAGUGUCGAAUGAGGUAGGUGGUUUAGUUAUCUUGACUAGUGUGCGUGGGGCUUUGAAAGGUCUAUUUUGCGAUUCCAAUGGCUUUUUAAUAACGGUGUUGGCUUAGUGGGGAGCGUCCGCGUUUUUGUGUAUCUGUAACCUUGUUAUCAGUUCUCAUAUAAAUUUUGUUAUACGCAUAUUAAACUCAAAGACGUAGUUUAAAAAAAAAUUUCAUUAUUGUUUAUUUAUUUAUUGCUUAGAUGGGUGGACGAGCUGGUGUUAAGUGGUUAUCGGAGCCCAUAGACAUCUACAACGUAAAUGCUGCCACCCACCUUGAGACACGAGUUCUAAGGUCUCAGUAUAGUUAUAAAUGACGUUUCAGCAUCCGCACAUAGCACAUCUGCUAAUCAAAUGCCACUAACUAAAUAUAUUAUAUUAUAUUUAGGAUCUAAGAUUACAUCAGAGUGCUCUUGUAUACCUAUACUAUAAUUGGUUGGCUUUUACGUAAAACAGUAAUAAGAUUUGUAGCCGUUUAUUGGAAUUGGGUGCAGUUAAAUACUAAAACCAUGAUAAAGUAUACAUGAAUAAACGGGAAUCGUUGCUUCCAAGCAAGGAGACUAUAUACCCGUUUGAUUACAAACUCAAAGAAAAAUAAAUAAGGACGAAGAACCAGAAAGAAAACCAUUAUAAUAACAUUCGUGAAAAGAACGGUAUAAUGGUAUUUUUAAGGCGUACCGUCAAUAGUGAUCUGAUUUGUUUUUCGAUUAUUAAGAUUGUUUGUACAAGCAAAAUCUGUGUUAAAGAUUAAACACCAUCAAUACAAAAACAUUAAUUAUAAGAAUGCAAUCGCCCAUUGCUGUACUCAACACAGAAUCAGUAGCGUCGCAUGAGUGCCCAUAAAACGUGCAUUUACAACGUAAAUAUAGAAUUGUGAACGCAGCCUUUUUUUUUUUACAACACUGAUGUUAGAUGCAAUGGAAAGGAUAAGUAAGAUUUCAAUGAACAGAGCAUUUUUUUUGUUUGUUUGUUUCUUAACAGGCGUGUCACGCAGAAGUUGCAAAUUUUUUAUAGGGUGAAGUAAGCAGAUGAUCGUAUACACAGACUUACCACCUGUCCAACUUUGUCCAACUUGGAAUUAAUAUAGUAAUUAGGCAAUAAGAAUAGAACAAUUAGAGUUUAUGUGAAUUACAGUUGGAUGAGAGGAAAAUCUAGUAGUGGCACAAAUAAGAUCGGAUUGCAUACCUAAUAAAGAAGAUGCUAACUAUUGUUACAUAGGUAAGAGUAAUGCCAUCUAUUGACAAAUAGCCGAACGAAUAUCGAAGGAUCUAGUAGCAUUUAGAACACUCGAGAAAUACAACGCCAUCUAUUGUCAGAUGGCGGAAACACACAAUACUCGACUUAGGCGGAAUAUUCUCGAUAAUUUUAGGGAUGUGGUAUCGGCUAUAAAAGCGUUGCAGAGAUGGCACGUAGUCAGUUAGUAAUCGGAACUACUCGAAGCGAAACAGCCAACAGAUCACCUGAAGCGAAGCGGAAGAAGCGCAUUGAGAAUUUUAAAGGUUUUGUAAAGGCUUUAAAUGUUCUAAGUACUAAUACAGUAUUAAUUUAUA